RNAcentral lists this small RNA (29 nucleotides) under Bombyx mori (domestic silkworm). RNAcentral describes it as "ovarian small RNA-37999". Lineage: Eukaryota; Metazoa; Arthropoda; Insecta; Lepidoptera; Bombycidae. The record is from RNAcentral.
UUGGAGGAUCCCGACAAGUUACGUCCAGC